RNAcentral lists this ribosomal RNA (484 nucleotides) under uncultured bacterium. Its description in RNAcentral is "partial 16S ribosomal RNA". It matches the Rfam family "Bacterial small subunit ribosomal RNA", at positions 29 to 507 of the family's 1533-position model. The record is from RNAcentral.
AUUGAACGCUGGCGGCAUGCCUUACACAUGCAAGUCGAACGGCAGCACGGGAGCAAUCCUGGUGGCGAGUGGCGAACGGGUGAGUAAUACAUCGGAACGUGCCCAGUAGUGGGGGAUAACCCGGCGAAAGCCGGACUAAUACCGCAUACGACCUACGGGUGAAAGCGGGGGAUCGCAAGACCUCGCGCUAUCGGAGCGGCCGAUGUCAGAUUAGCUAGUUGGUGGGGUAAAGGCCUACCAAGGCGACGAUCUGUAGCUGGUCUGAGAGGACGACCAGCCACACUGGGACUGAGACACGGCCCAUACGCCUACGAGAGGCAGCAGUGGGGAAUUGUGGACAAUGGGCGCAAGCCUGAUCCAGCCAGGCCGCGUGCGGGAAGAAGGCCUUCGGGGUGGAAACCGGUUUUUUCAGGGAAGAAACGCUCCGGGCUAAUACCACGGAGUAAUGACGGUACCUGAAGAAUAAGCACCGGCUAACUACGUG